AUUGAACGCUGGCGGAAUGCUUUACACAUGCAAGUCGGGCGGCAGCGCGGGGGCAACCCUGGCGGCGAGCGGCGAACGGGUGAGUAACACAUCGGAACGUACCCUGUCGUGGGGGAUAACGAAUCGAAAGAUUCGCUAAUACCGCAUACGACCUGAGGGUGAAAGCGGGGGAUCGCAAGACCUCGCGCGAGAGGAGCGGCCGAUGGCGGAUUAGCUAGUUGGUGGGGUAAAGGCCCACCAAGGCGACGAUCCGUAGCGGGUCUGAGAGGACGGCCCGCCACACUGGGACUGAGACACGGCCCAGACUCCUACGGGAGGCAGCAGUGGGGAAUUUUGGACAAUGGGGGCAACCCUGAUCCAGCCAUUCCGCGUGAGUGAAGAAGGCCUCGGUUGUUAAAGGACUCUUUCGGUCAGGAACGAAACGGACGGGCGCUAACAUAGCCUGUCAAUGACGGUAACCUCGAAGAAGAAGACACCGGC
This 480-nucleotide ribosomal RNA is filed under the name uncultured bacterium. RNAcentral's name for it is "bacterial SSU rRNA". It matches the Rfam family "Bacterial small subunit ribosomal RNA", at positions 29 to 497 of the family's 1533-position model. The record is from RNAcentral.